CCUGUUUCCAAGACAUCUUUAGGCACAAACCCCCUGACCUUUACUCUCGGGCCCACUGGCAACUGGCCCCUUCACAAUCUCCCACAGGGGCUCAACUUAGGCUCACAGCUCCAGUUCAGAAAAAGAGAAGACCUUUUGUGAGGGGACAGAGGUCUCCAGUGCCAUGGCUCCUCUUUGUCCUGAUAAGGCUUCCACUGGGCCCAGGCAGCUCUGGGCUGGAGUCACCUAUGAGCACUGAGGCUACAGGAUAUCAGGACCACUGGUUGAUGUGAUGGAGCCAUUCGACUUCAUGAGGCUUUGCAGGGGCUGCUGUCCAGUGGUGACGGCGUGACAAUGAAAGAAGUCUGGACUCUGACUAAAGAAACAUUCCUCCACGGGGCUGGUGUUGUCUUUCACCGUUGCAUCAAUGAUGCUGCUGUUUUCUUUCUUCAUGCUUCCUACUAAAUGGACUUCCUGCUGUUUCUCUAGAAUACAGGCUUCUGAAAAGUCUGUUUCCUGGGAAAAGUCCCUCUGAAGUUCAAAUGAUGUAUUGUGUUUUUCUUUAUAUAUUUCCUUUGUCAA
Molecule: long non-coding RNA, 561 nt
Organism: Panthera uncia (snow leopard)
Lineage: Eukaryota; Metazoa; Chordata; Mammalia; Carnivora; Felidae
Exons: 3
Source: RefSeq, a predicted model, not a curated record